Molecule: long non-coding RNA, 1143 nt
Filed under: Coturnix japonica (Japanese quail)
Lineage: Eukaryota; Metazoa; Chordata; Aves; Galliformes; Phasianidae
Description: lncRNA (ENSCJPG00005001187.1)
Source: RNAcentral
CUGGCUCCUAGCACAACAGCACGGGAGGCUGAGCAAGUGCAUCUCCUAAAGCUCAGCAAAGCCUUCCAUGCUUCAGCUUGGGGAUGUAAGAUAUAUAAGUACUACAAAGCAUCCGGGAGCCUGAUAUUCCUAUAUGCUAUUUGUCACAAAAGUGCAUCUGGUUGUUUCACAGCGCACUGAUGUGGCAAAGGUAUCUUCCUCAAUGGGAUAUCUACAAGCAGCAAGUGUCCUAGUCCAAAAAUCAGGGUUUUUCAAGCCUUUGUGCUCUACAAAUAUCAAUAGUAUUGCAUCCUGUUUCUUUUCAGCUGAUCAAUUCUCCAUAAACACAGUGCUGUGCUGAGGGAGAAGCACUGAAGCAUGAAAACCCUCUUUUUUCCUGGAUACUCCAUGUGAUUUCUCAUCUGUGAGGCAGGAUUGAUGACUUAUUUAUCCCAUUUUUUCUUCAAAAGCAUUCUCUAAAAUGACUCAGAUACUUCUUGUAUAGUCAUUCGAAAUGGAAAAUUCUAUUGUGCUCAGAAUUAGAGAAGGUUUUCACUCCUGUUUGAAGAACCAUAGCUCUGAUACAUGGAAAGGACGCUUUAUGUUGUACAGACAGUGACAUCAGAGUUGCACUGGACUGAAAGCAAGUGUAAAAUGAUGAAAUUCUAUCUACAGUUUUUCUUCCAGUUUUAGAAAAAGAUAAGAUUCUGGCUUUCCUUACACGUGUAUCGCUUGGCUGCACUCAUUGCAAAGGAGCCCUGCGAGGAAAGAUGCUGGGUGGAAACGGAUAGAACGUGGUCAGGAGAAGGAGCAGAAUGGUUUCCUGCCCCACAGCACAGCCCUUCCCUCACCAGGAGCUGAGCACACCAGCAUGGAGUGAUGCAGUGAGCACUGUCUCCUGUCCUCUGCAGGACAAUUUGCCCAGUUCCUCUCAGGAAGAGAAAGCUUGCAGAGGGAAUGUCUGCAGGUUUUCUGCUUCUAAUGCUUCUCUCACCUGGGAGUGAAACAAUUAGCAGCGGGCAAAAACAGCAACAGACUUCAAGUAACCCGCUCACCAGUAAGGCAAGAUCCACAAUCUGUUCCCAGCAACCCGUGGUUAUGGCACCCAGACGAGCAGAUGGUGGUAACAGCCAGGCCAUGGACAAGAAAAUAAUAGAAGUUUAA